GAUGAACGCUGGCGGCGUGCUUAACACAUGCAAGUCGAACGGAAAGGCCCUGCUCUUGUGGCGUGCUCGAGUGGCGAACGGGUGAGUAUCACGUGAGUAACCUGCCCUUGACUGUGGGAUAACUCUAGGAAACUGGGGCUAAAACCGCAUAGGAUCUCCUGCUCCAUGUUGGGGGUUGGAAAGUGUCGGCGGUGGGGGCUGGACUCGCGGGUUACCAGCUUGUUGGUCGGGUAGGGGCUGACCAAGGUUUUGACGGGUAGCCGGCAUGAGAGGGGGACCGGCCACCAUGGGACUGCGGUACGGCCCAGAAGCCUACGGGGGGCAGCAGUGGGGAAUAUUGCACAAUGGGCGGAAGCCUGAUGCAGCAACGCCGCGUGCGGGAUGACGGCCUUCGGGUUGUAAACCGCUUUCGCAUGUGACGAAGCGUGAGUGACGGUAAUGGGUAAAGAAGCACCGGCUAACUACGUG
RNAcentral lists this ribosomal RNA (468 nucleotides) under uncultured bacterium. RNAcentral's name for it is "partial 16S ribosomal RNA". It matches the Rfam family "Bacterial small subunit ribosomal RNA", at positions 28 to 507 of the family's 1533-position model. The record is from RNAcentral.